This is a non-coding RNA of Herpailurus yagouaroundi (jaguarundi), 73 nucleotides long. The record is from the annotation of a RefSeq genome assembly. Lineage: Eukaryota; Metazoa; Chordata; Mammalia; Carnivora; Felidae.
ACCUGGCUGGCUCAGUUGGUAGAGCAUGUGACUCUGGAUCUCAGGGUCAUGAGUUCGAACCCCACGCUGGGUG